Molecule: RNA transcript, 4628 nt
Organism: Photinus pyralis (common eastern firefly)
Lineage: Eukaryota; Metazoa; Arthropoda; Insecta; Coleoptera; Lampyridae
Gene: ATP7
Gene name: copper-transporting ATPase 1
Exons: 13
Source: RefSeq, a predicted model, not a curated record
UAAUUUUGAGUUUUUGACAACGAGAACGACGUCCUUCUAAUCAAAAUAAAAUUUCGGGUUUUCCCGUUUUAUUUCCAAAUGUAAAUUAAACAGUAUAACGAAAACAUAUCCGAACAAAGCUGUCUUGAACCUAAAUCGAUGUCACCUACUAACAGUCUUCAACUAACUUCCUUUGUACAUCAAAAUUACCGAUACCAAAGCAGCAGUUUGCUAUCUACUUAGAUAAAAGUUUACCAAAUGAAUAAGCGCCGUUUACACGUUUAAACUGUACACAUUCCGAGGCUAGUUAUUCCAUAUGGCUCUAACAAUGGACAGCAAUGUAGUUCGUUUUGUAACAAAAGACACAGAUAAAAUCACCAGGGAGAACUAUGAGAACUUCAAGACACAGAUACAAAAAAUCGACGGGACCGUCGUUGCGUAUCCUCAAGAUCUAUCUUACCUAGAUGUUACGAUACCGGAGGCGAAUUAUCAUCUGGUACAGGAUGCCACCGAGACUCUCGGCUUGAGACCGUUGACCGACGUGAGUAAGGAGAGUGGGGCAUCGCUGCUUACCGCCACCGGCGACGGGUACAGAAAUGAGGCGCCCGGUCCGGAAAGCGCCGUCAGAGUUAAUAUUAUUGGCAUGACGUGUCAGUCUUGCGUACGUAACAUUGAAGAAACGGUAGGGAAGAGGCCCGGUAUUGUUAGUAUUAAGGUUCAUUUAGCAGAGAAGUUCAGCUUCGUGCUGUACGACACGAGCCGGUUAACGCCGCAGGAUAUCUGCGAUUAUAUCGAGGAUAUCGGUUUCGAGGCGUCACUGCCGCUUCUGCAGGAUAGCGAAGGUUUAGUCAAUACGUGUGUCGUACAUAUCGAGGGGAUGACGUGCAAUUCGUGCGUGAAGAGCAUAGAAGGUAUGCUUAGCGUUAAGGAAGGAAUUAGAGAUGUGAAAGUGAAUUUAAAUGAUAAGGAAGGUAUUAUACAGUUCGUGGCCAAGGUCUCGCCAGAUGACAUCAUAGAGCAGAUUAAGGAUAUGGGAUUCGAUUGUUACAUCAAGGCAGUGAAUGGAAAGACAGUUAAAAGGGAUUCAGACAGUCCACCGCACGAAAUUGUCCAAAUACAGAAACAGCAAGAGGAAGAUGUUUAUUUAGAAAAAUGCCAACUGCACAUAAAGGGAAUGACUUGCGGAUCGUGCGUCGCCGCCAUCGAAAAGCACUGUCUGAAAAUAACAGGAUGUCACAAUAUACUGGUGGCGCUGCUUGCCGCAAGGGCCGAGGUUACCUACGAUCCGUCGUGCGUCACGCCCAGAGAGAUAGCCGACUCGAUUUCGAACCUCGGAUUUCCGUCGUCGGUGCUGCAGCAGGCGGGCGCCGGCGAAUCGGAUGUCGACCUGCAAAUUUCGGGGAUGACCUGCGCCAGUUGCGUUUACAAAAUCGAAAGCUCGAUCUCGCAACUGCCGGGCGUGCUCGGCGCCAAAGUCGCACUGACCACGCAGAAGGGUCGAUUUAGGUACGAUCCAGAGGUGACGGGCGCGCGUUUUAUCAUCGACGCGAUCAACGCGCUCGGGUUUCACGCCGAGCUGUCGUCGCGCGAGCGCAAUAACGACUACCUGAAGCAGAAGGAGGAGAUUCGCAAGUGGUGGCACGCGUUCCUGGUGUCGUUGGUGUUCGGCGGACCGUGCAUGCUCGCGAUGACGUACUUCAUGAUCGCGAUGUCGGCGGGGUAUAUGUCGCACGAGGAGAUGUGCUGCGUUGUUCCGGGACUGUCGCUCGAGAACUUGAUCAUGUGGGUGCUUUCGACGCCUGUGCUGUUAUUCGGAGGCAAGCACUUCUUUAUACAGGCGGCGAAGGCGCUGAAACAUCGCACGACGAACAUGGACGUGCUGAUAGCGAUGGCCACCUCCAUUUCGUACGUUUACAGCUUGUGCGUCAUCAUCGCCGCGAUGGUUUUGCAGCAGAAAACGUCGCCCCAAACUUUUUUCGACACGCCCCCCAUGCUUCUGCUGUUCAUCAGUUUGGGAAGGUGGCUCGAGCACAUCGCAAAGGGACAGACUUCGGAGGCGCUAUCGCGUCUGUUGUCGCUCAAGGCGACGGACGCGGUUCUCGUUACGUUAGGCUCGGAGGGUGAGAUCCGGACCGAAAGUCAAGUGAAGGUGGAUCUCGUUCAGAGGGGCGAUUAUCUCAAAGUGAUUCCGGGUGCCAAAGUUCCGGUCGACGGACGCGUCGUGCAAGGAAGGUCCAUGUGCGACGAGAGCCUAAUAACCGGCGAGAGUAUGCCAGUGCCAAAAAAAAUCGACAGCAACGUCAUCGGCGGUUCGAUUAAUCAACAUGGACUGCUGAUAAUUCAAGCCACGCACACGGGCGAGGCGACGACACUCUCGCAAAUCGUCCGACUCGUCGAAGAAGCACAAACGUCGAAGGCUCCGAUUCAACAAUUGGCCGAUCGAAUCGCCGGGUACUUCGUCCCAAUCGUCGUCUUUCUCGCGCUGCUGACGCUAGUCGUCUGGUCGAUAAUCGGAGCGGUUAAUAUCGCGAAUCUUCCCAUUUCGGAGGCGGAGAAGGAGGGGUUUAGUAAUUCCGAGAUAAUCUUGCAGUUCGUGUUCAGAUGCGCCCUAAGCGUGCUGGCGAUAGCGUGUCCGUGCGCUUUGGGUUUGGCCACCCCGACGGCGGUUAUGGUCGGCACCGGCGUCGGCGCGCUGAACGGUAUUCUAAUCAAGGGCGCCGAGCCGCUCGAGAACGCGCACAAAGUUCGGGCGAUAAUGUUCGACAAGACCGGCACAAUCACCAAGGGAGUUCCGGCCGUUUCCAGGAUAUGGUUGCAGGCCGACGUUGUCAGUCCCGCUGUGAUCUUCUCGGCUUUGGGAUGCGCCGAGAGUAGCAGCGAACAUCCGAUCGCGACGGCCAUAGUUACUUUCGUCAAGGACUCGCUUACUACCGAACUGAGCGGCGCCUGCGACAAUUUCCAGGCGGUUCCCGGUUGCGGUUUAAAGUGCACAGUGUCGAGGAUCUCGGGAAUGGUGAAGAACGCAAAGAAUUCGAUCGAGUUCAGUCACUUCUCGUCGCUGAUCGGCGGCGGAAGUUCGGGCUUUUUCACGCUGCACGGCGUUGCAAUCGAAGUUACCAACAGCGGCGGGCAAAACUUGAAGUUGGGAGAGUUAAUUGGGAUCGAAAGACCCGCCGAGCAUGGCAGUGGCCAGUAUGAGGUAAUUGUUGGAAAUCGAGAGUGGAUGAAUCGAAACGGAUUAAUAAUUCAGGACGACAUCGAUCGAAAAAUGAUGAUCGAAGAGGAACAAGGACGAUCGGCCGUCCUGUGCGCCAUUGACGGCCAGAUCGUUGCUAUGCUAAGCGUAGCGGAUACGGUGAAACCGGAAGCCCACCUGGCCGUCUAUUGCCUGAAGAAGAUGGGACUCGACGUGAUUCUACUGACGGGGGAUAAUAGACAGACCGCGGCAAGCAUCGCGCGACAAGUCGGUAUAACGAAGGUGUACGCCGAGGUUCUUCCGUCGCAUAAAGUCGCUCGCGUGCAAAGGUUGCAAUCCAAAGGUAUUAAGGUGUGUAUGGUGGGGGACGGUGUCAACGACUCGCCCGCUCUUGCACAGGCAGAUGUUGGUAUGGCCAUCGCGGCCGGUACCGAUGUGGCGGUCGAGGCCGCUCAUAUUGUACUUAUGCGUAACGAUCUCUUAGACGUCGUCGCCUGUUUGGAGCUAUCCCGCAAGACAGUACGACGGAUACGGCUCAAUUUUCUUUUUGCGAGCAUGUACAAUCUCCUAGGUAUUCCACUCGCCGCCGGGGUCUUCAGCAACUUCGGCCUAGUCUUACAGCCUUGGAUGGCGUCCGCCGCCAUGGCGCUUAGUUCAGUAUCGGUGGUCGGUUCUAGUCUCUUAUUAAAAACGUGGAAGAAAUCUACCAAACGCGAUCUGGAGACGCCGGAAUAUUUAAGUCUGGCGAAACACGACGAGUUAGAUACAAUUUCGAUUCAUCGCGGUCUCGACGAUUUGGAACAGCUCAACGGAACGCCUACCGCCAUAUCAAGGAUUUUGGGACGAAAGAAGAUCGAAGAACCCCUUCUUCUCUCUGUGGAUUGAAUCUGUGCAUAAUUUUAUUUAAGAAGUAAGCUUUAAAUUUUAUUCGUACGUGUGGUAACCUCCUUUACUUAAUGGUUUGCUGUGAUUUUGUCUUAUUCUGGAAGAUGCGUGAGUUCUGACGAAGAUAUACUUAACCGUGCAUUUUUUCAGGUUACAGCAAAUAGUCCAAUUGUAUGUGAAUGAUGGGUGGAUAUACUCAGUGCGUCAUGUUUCGAGGCUGUGGCACAUUUUUCUAAUAAAGAAAAGUUAGGUUAGAAAGAUCGAUCAAGUGCACCUUAUGUCCAAAUUGGCUCCUACCUACCACACCUGCGCAUGCCAGAUGCUUUUUUGUAUGUUUGCUUUAAAAAAAUUAAGAAAAAAUCUUAAACUUGCAAAUAAGGGUACGCAUUUAAAAAGAAAUGUCUGUACCAAAGAAUCAAACUCGAGUCGCCCGAUGCAAACCUAGUAUCCGUGCCAGUAGACGAUUCCAUCGUGAUUGAAAUGAGAAUUACACGGCAAGAAUAAGCUUUGGAAAUGGUAGUUCACCAAGCAAAAAUAGAAAUAGGUUGGGGAAAAAAGAACUUACCAA